ACGAACGCUGGCGGCGUGCUUAACCCCUGCAAGUCGAACGGAAAGGCCCUGCUUUUGUGGGGUGCUCGAGUGGCGAACGGGUGAGAAACACGUGAGUAACCUGCCCUUGACUUUGGGAUAACUUCAGGAAACUGGGGCUAAUACCGGAUAGGAGCUCCUGCUGCAUGGUGGGGGUUGGAAAGUUUCGGCGGUUGGGGAUGGACUCGCGGCUUAUCAGCUUGUUGGUGGGGUAGUGGCUUACCAAGGCUUUGACGGGUAGCCGGCCUGAGAGGGUGACCGGCCACAUUGGGACUGAGAUACGGCCCAGACUCCUACGGGAGGCAGCAGUGGGGAAUAUUGCACAAUGGGCGGAAGCCUGAUGCAGCAACGCCGCGUGCGGGAUGACGGCCUUCGGGUUGUAAACCGCUUUCGCCUGUGACGAAGCGUGAGUGACGGUAAUGGGUAAAGAAGCACCGGCUAACUACGUG
This 467-nucleotide ribosomal RNA is filed under the name uncultured bacterium. RNAcentral's name for it is "partial 16S ribosomal RNA". It matches the Rfam family "Bacterial small subunit ribosomal RNA", at positions 29 to 507 of the family's 1533-position model. The record is from RNAcentral.